GGGGGGGGCAAGCGUUGUUCGGAAUUACUGGGCGUAAAGGGCGCGUAGGCUGCUCGCUAAGUCGGGUGUGAAAACUCUGGGCUCAACCCAGAGCCUGCACUCGAAACUGACGAGCUAGAGUUCUGGAGGGGAAAGCGGAAUUCCUGGUGUAGCGGUGAAAUGCGUAGAUAUCAGGAGGAACACCGGUGGCGAAGGCGGCUUUCUGGACAGAAACUGACGCUGAGGCGCGAAAGCUAGGGGAGCAAACAGGAUUAGAUACCCUGGUAGUCCUAGCCCUAAACGAUGGAUACUUGCUGUGAGGGGGAUUGAAUCCCUUCGUGGCGAAGCUAACGCAUUAAGUAUCCCGCCUGGGGAGUACGGUCGCAAGGCUGAA
This 373-nucleotide ribosomal RNA is filed under the name uncultured bacterium. Its description in RNAcentral is "bacterial SSU rRNA". It matches the Rfam family "Bacterial small subunit ribosomal RNA", at positions 527 to 898 of the family's 1533-position model. The record is from RNAcentral.